RNAcentral lists this unclassified non-coding RNA (188 nucleotides) under uncultured Cylindrocarpon. RNAcentral describes it as "sequence contains ITS2". Lineage: Eukaryota; Fungi; Ascomycota; Sordariomycetes; Hypocreales; Nectriaceae. The record is from RNAcentral.
CAACCCUCAAGCCCCCGGGCUUGGUGUUGGGGAUCGGCAUAAGGCGCUGGCACCUCCGGGAGCCGUCGCCCGCCGUCCCCCAAAUUCAGUGGCGGUUCACGCCGUGUGUACCUCAGCGUAGUAGCAACACCUCGCUCCGGAACCGCAUUGUGAGCCACGCCGUAAAACCCCCGACUUUUUUUUUUAAU